This 301-nucleotide ribosomal RNA is filed under the name uncultured bacterium. RNAcentral's name for it is "partial 16S ribosomal RNA". It matches the Rfam family "Bacterial small subunit ribosomal RNA", at positions 509 to 807 of the family's 1533-position model. The record is from RNAcentral.
CAGCCGCCACGGGAACACGAGGGGGGCAAGCGUUGUUCGGAAUUAUUGGGCGUAAAGGGCGCGUAGGCGGUUUGGCAAGUUUCGUGUGAAAUCUUCGGGCUCAACUCGAAGUCUGCACGGAAAACUGCCGAGCUAGCAGGUGAGAGAGGUAAGUGGAAUUCCGAGUGUAGAGGUGAAAUUCGUAGAUAUUCGGAAGAACACCAGUGGCGAAGGCGGCUUACUGGCUCAUACUGGACGCUGAGGUGCGAAAGCGUGGGGAGCAAACAGGAUUAGAUACCCCAGUAGUCCCUGUCUCUUAUAC